UUAAAAUGGUGCUCAUUCGGUCAUUACAGAUUUACUGUUUGAAUUUGUUAUUUUAUUUACUUUAGAAUGCUUUUCAUUUUUAGCAAUCAGGAUUCUAGAGUGUCAUAUCUUUAAAAGUCUAGCAUUUUUAUUUCUGCCAGUUCAAGAGGAUGCAGGAAGAAGUUUAACAGAAGAAACCGUCUUCAAAAUAAUAAAACCCCAAAAUUAUUCUCUACAAUAUCCAGUAAGUGCUGAUUUUCUAGAAAACAGUUGGCAGGGGGAGAGAGAGAAGGAACCACCCCUCCCCCCAAACUCAAAGAAAAAAUAACUACUUUGGACAUAUUAUUUCUAAUCCUUUAAAAAACACUCUUCCAGGAGGGUAUUUCUUUCCAUUAGACAGAUGGACAAACUCAAAGGGUUUCGGUGACUUGCCCACAGCCACACGGCUAACAAGAAGCAUGUGUUCUGAUAGCAUUAAUCAGAAAAGCAUAUAUUGCUGACAUGGAUUCCCUGUUUCAUGAGGGCAGGGACCAUCGCUAUCCUAUUCUCCGCUGUAUCCCAAAGCCUACCUCCUGGCACCCCGUAGGCUUUGAUGACUACCUAUAGGGUGGGAGGAUGGGAGGAAGAAAGAAAGGGAGGCGGAACAGGUGUGUGUGCAGCCAGGCGCUCCGUCCACCCUGCCACUCCUCUUCUUUGGAGACAGUGCUCUGACAAUCUGUUCCAUCAACUCCAUUCUCCUGCAACUCUCAUCACACUUUCACAAGCUGCGCAGAUUACGUUUCCUAGGACUGUGUCCAUCCAUCUGCCUCACUGGAUGCUGAUCCACUCUGGUGUGUUUCCCAGUCAGUCACUCAGCAAAGUGCAACCGAGAGCCAACCAUGUGCCCGGUACUUUCCAAGAUGCCAGGAUAAAACGGCAAUAAUAUGGGAUUCCUGUGCUUGAGGUUUUUACAGCCUGAAAAACAAUGACCUCUGCAUUUCCUACUCAGCACCGCGUGCCAUCAACAUCCAAGAAACACCAAAGGAUGGCCGCAAUUGAGGGACUCUUCUCAAUAGCAUGUUCUUGUGCUUCUUCAUUUAGGACACAUCUCCCAUGCUGGGAAGUACAAGACAAAUACGAGGAGUUGGCUUACCAUGCUGUAUGCACCCUUCUUCUUGUGAUGAUGUAAGAUGAUAAAACGCCUACGUGACGAGAAGUGAGGCGGAUGAUGCAGGCAUCGUGACAUAGCACUUGGCUAUUAUUGGCCUCGAGCUCAAGCCCUCUGCUACUUGACAGUUGACCUGAUAACCAAGCCAGGUACUAAGUGACUGAUGGCAGGCGGUGUGUACGGUGUGGCCACACUGGACAAAGCAGGGUUCAUGUCCCGGGUGAGACGGUGCAAGAUUUCAUCAUGCUACUCAGAAUGGCGGGCAAUUUAAAACGUAUGAACUGUUUGUUUCUGGUAUUUUCCAUUUAGUAUUUUCGGACUGUGGUUGACUACGGGAAAUGGAAACCAUGGAAAGUGAAACCGUGGGUGGCGGGG
Molecule: long non-coding RNA, 1501 nt
Filed under: Homo sapiens (human)
Lineage: Eukaryota; Metazoa; Chordata; Mammalia; Primates; Hominidae
Description: HSALNT0314274
Source: RNAcentral